This 609-nucleotide ribosomal RNA is filed under the name uncultured bacterium. Its description in RNAcentral is "bacterial SSU rRNA". It matches the Rfam family "Bacterial small subunit ribosomal RNA", at positions 338 to 946 of the family's 1533-position model. The record is from RNAcentral.
CCUACGGGAGGCAGCAGUAAGGAAUAUUGGUCAAUGGGCGCAAGCCUGAACCAGCCAUGCCGCGUGCAGGAAGACGGCCCUACGGGUUGUAAACUGCUUUUGUACCGGAAUAAACCUUUUCACGAGUGAGAAGCUGAAUGUACGGUAAGAAUAAGGAUCGGCUAACUCCGUGCCAGCAGCCGCGGUAAUACGGAGGAUCCAAGCGUUAUCCGGAUUUAUUGGGUUUAAAGGGUGCGUAGGCGGUUCUUUAAGUCAGGGGUGAAAGACGGUAGCUUAACUAUCGCAGUGCCUUUGAUACUGAAGAACUUGAAUACACUUGAGGUAGGCGGAAUGUGACAAGUAGCGGUGAAAUGCAUAGAUAUGUCACAGAACACCAAUUGCGAAGGCAGCUUACUAAAGUGUCAUUGACGCUGAGGCACGAAAGCGUGGGGAUCAAACAGGAUUAGAUACCCUGGUAGUCCACGCCCUAAACGAUGAAUACUCGAUGUUGGCGAUAUACGGUCAGCGUCUAAGCGAAAGCGUUAAGUAUUCCACCUGGGGAGUACGCCGCAAGGGUGAAACUCAAAUUGAAUUGAGGCUUGAGACGNGCGAGACGACGACGAGGAGAGG